CAGCAGCCGCGGUAAAACGAAGGGGGCUAGCGUUGCUCGGAAUCACUGGGCGUAAAGCGCACGUAGGCGGAUGUUUAAGUCAGAGGUGAAAGCCUGGAGCUCAACUCCAGAACUGCCUUUGAUACUGGGCAUCUUGAGUCCGGAAGAGGUAAGUGGAACUGCGAGUGUAGAGGUGAAAUUCGUAGAUAUUCGCAAGAACACCAGUGGCGAAGGCGGCUUACUGGUCCGGUACUGACGCUGAGGUGCGAAAGCGUGGGGAGCAAACAGGAUUAGAUACCCCCGUAGUCCCUGUCUCUUAUAC
This 301-nucleotide ribosomal RNA is filed under the name uncultured bacterium. RNAcentral's name for it is "partial 16S ribosomal RNA". It matches the Rfam family "Bacterial small subunit ribosomal RNA", at positions 509 to 807 of the family's 1533-position model. The record is from RNAcentral.